CACCGCCCGUCACGUCAUGGGAGUCGGUAGCACCUGAAGCCGCCACGCCAACCCUUGUGGAGGCAGGCGUCGAAGGUGAGGCUGGCGACUGGGACG
Molecule: ribosomal RNA, 96 nt
Filed under: uncultured bacterium
Lineage: Bacteria
Description: partial 16S ribosomal RNA
Rfam family: Bacterial small subunit ribosomal RNA
Source: RNAcentral